ACGGGAGGCAGCAGUGGGGAAUAUUGCACAAUGGGCGAAAGCCUGAUGCAGCGACGCCGCGUGAGUGAAGAAGUAUCUCGGUAUGUAAAGCUCUAUCAGCAGGGAAGAAAAUGACGGUACCUGACUAAGAAGCCCCGGCUAACUACGUGCCAGCAGCCGCGGUAAUACGUAGGGGGCAAGCGUUAUCCGGAUUUACUGGGUGUAAAGGGCGCGUAGGCGGGAAGGCAAGUCAGAUGUGAAAUCCAUGAGCUCAACUCAUGAACUGCAUUUGAAACUGUCUUUCUUGAGUGUCGGAGAGGUAGAUGGAAUUCCUAGUGUAGCGGUGAAAUGCGUAGAUAUUAGGAAGAACACCAGUGGCGAAGGCGAUCUACUGGACGAUAACUGACGCUGAGGCGCGAAAGCGUGGGGAGCAAACAGGAUUAGAUACCCUGGUA
This 434-nucleotide ribosomal RNA is filed under the name uncultured Lachnospiraceae bacterium. RNAcentral's name for it is "partial 16S ribosomal RNA". It matches the Rfam family "Bacterial small subunit ribosomal RNA", at positions 341 to 792 of the family's 1533-position model. Lineage: Bacteria; Bacillati; Bacillota; Clostridia; Lachnospirales; Lachnospiraceae. The record is from RNAcentral.